This 310-nucleotide ribosomal RNA is filed under the name Parapasiphae sulcatifrons. Its description in RNAcentral is "partial 16S ribosomal RNA". Lineage: Eukaryota; Metazoa; Arthropoda; Malacostraca; Decapoda; Pasiphaeidae. The record is from RNAcentral.
UACGCUGUUAUCCCUAAAGUAACUUUUUCUUUUAAUCUUAAAAUAAAAUAAGGAUCAUAUAUAUACUCUAAUUACAAUUAUUUUAAAUAUAAGACAGUUAUUUUUAUAUCUUCCUCCCCCCAACGAAACAGAAUUAAAAAUAAUUAACUUUAAUUUUACUUAAUAAAUUAUUUUCAUCUUGGAAAGGUUUAAAGGGUCUUAUCGUCCCUUUAAAAUAUUUAAGCCUUUUCACUUAAAAGUAAAAUUCAACUUUUAUAAAAAAGACAGAUUAUUUUUUGGUCAAUCAUUCAUUCCAGUUUCCAAUUAAAAA